This 532-nucleotide ribosomal RNA is filed under the name uncultured Actinomycetes bacterium. Its description in RNAcentral is "bacterial SSU rRNA". It matches the Rfam family "Bacterial small subunit ribosomal RNA", at positions 340 to 863 of the family's 1533-position model. Lineage: Bacteria; Bacillati; Actinomycetota; Actinomycetes. The record is from RNAcentral.
UACGGGAGGCAGCAGGGGGGAAUCUUGCGCAAUGCGCGAAAGCGUGACGCAGCAACGCCGCGUGGGGGAAGACGGCCUUCGGGUUGUAAACCCCUUUCAGUUGGGACGAAGCCCGGUCGGUGAAUAGCCGCGCCGGGUGACGGUACCUUCAGAAGAAGCCCCGGCCAACUACGUGCCAGCAGCCGCGGUAAUACGUAGGGGGCAAGCGUUGUCCGGAAUCAUUGGGCGUAAAGCGCGUGUAGGCGGCUCGGUAAGUCCGCUCUGAAAGCCCGGGGCUCAACCCCGGGAGGCGGGCGGAUACUGCUGAGCUCGAGUCCGGAAGAGGCGAGUGGAAUUCCUGGUGUAGCGGUGAAAUGCGCAGAUAUCAGGAGGAACACCAAUUGCGAAGGCAGCUCGCUGGGACGGUACUGACGCUGAGACGCGAAAGCGUGGGGAGCGAACAGGAUUAGAUACCCUGGUAGUCCACGCCGUAAACGAUGGACACUAGGUGUGGGAGGUGUCGACUCCUCCCGUGCCGAAGCUAACGCAUUAA